GAUUAAGUUAUUAAGGGCGCACGGUGGAUGCCUUGGCACUAGAAGCCGAUGAAGGACGUUACUAACGACGAUAUGCUUUGGGGAGCUGUAAGUAAGCUUUGAUCCAGAGAUUUCCGAAUGGGGAAACCCAGCAUGAGUUAUGUCAUGUUAUCGAUAUGUGAAUACAUAGCAUAUCAGAAGGCACACCCGGAGAACUGAAACAUCUUAGUACCCGGAGGAAGAGAAAGAAAAUUCGAUUCCCUUAGUAGCGGCGAGCGAAACGGGAAGAGCCCAAACCAACAAGCUUGCUUGUUGGGGUUGUAGGACACUCUAUACGGAGUUACAAAGGACGACAUUAGACGAAUCAUCUGGAAAGAUGAAUCAAAGAAGGUAAUAAUCCUGUAGUCGAAAAUGUUGUCUCUCUUGAGUGGAUCCUGAGUACGACGGAGCACGUGAAAUUCCGUCGGAAUCUGGGAGGACCAUCUCCUAAGGCUAAAUACUCUCUAGUGACCGAUAGUGAACCAGUACCGUGAGGGAAAGGUGAAAAGCACCCCGGAAGGGGAGUGAAAUAGAACCUGAAACCGUGUGCUUACAAGUAGUCAGAGCCCGUUAAUGGGUGAUGGCGUGCCUUUUGUAGAAUGAACCGGCGAGUUACGAUUUGAUGCAAGGUUAAGCAGUAAAUGUGGAGCCGUAGCGAAAGCGAGUCUGAAUAGGGCGUUUAGUAUUUGGUCGUAGACCCGAAACCAGGUGAUCUACCCUUGGUCAGGUUGAAGUUCAGGUAACACUGAAUGGAGGACCGAACCGACUUACGUUGAAAAGUGAGCGGAUGAACUGAGGGUAGCGGAGAAAUUCCAAUCGAACCUGGAGAUAGCUGGUUCUCUCCGAAAUAGCUUUAGGGCUAGCCUCAAGUGAUGAUUAUUGGAGGUAGAGCACUGUUUGGACGAGGGGCCCCUCUCGGGUUACCGAAUUCAGACAAACUCCGAAUGCCAAUUAAUUUAACUUGGGAGUCAGAACAUGGGUGAUAAGGUCCGUGUUCGAAAGGGAAACAGCCCAGACCACCAGCUAAGGUCCCAAAAUAUAUGUUAAGUGGAAAAGGAUGUGGCGUUGCCCAGACAACUAGGAUGUUGGCUUAGAAGCAGCCAUCAUUUAAAGAGUGCGUAAUAGCUCACUAGUCGAGUGACACUGCGCCGAAAAUGUACCGGGGCUAAACAUAUUACCGAAGCUGUGGAUUGUCCUUUGGACAAUGGUAGGAGAGCGUUCUAAGGGCGUUGAAGCAUGAUCGUAAGGACAUGUGGAGCGCUUAGAAGUGAGAAUGCCGGUGUGAGUAGCGAAAGACGGGUGAGAAUCCCGUCCACCGAUUGACUAAGGUUUCCAGAGGAAGGCUCGUCCGCUCUGGGUUAGUCGGGUCCUAAGCUGAGGCCGACAGGCGUAGGCGAUGGAUAACAGGUUGAUAUUCCUGUACCACCUA
RNAcentral lists this ribosomal RNA (1447 nucleotides) under Parahaemophilus parainfluenzae. Its description in RNAcentral is "Haemophilus parainfluenzae (human gut metagenome) partial 23S ribosomal RNA". It matches the Rfam family "Bacterial large subunit ribosomal RNA", at positions 1 to 1450 of the family's 2925-position model. Lineage: Bacteria; Pseudomonadati; Pseudomonadota; Gammaproteobacteria; Pasteurellales; Pasteurellaceae. The record is from RNAcentral. RNAcentral also lists the same sequence under 1 other name.